This 465-nucleotide ribosomal RNA is filed under the name uncultured bacterium. Its description in RNAcentral is "partial 16S ribosomal RNA". It matches the Rfam family "Bacterial small subunit ribosomal RNA", at positions 338 to 795 of the family's 1533-position model. The record is from RNAcentral.
CCUACGGGAGGCAGCAGUAGGGAAUCUUCCACAAUGGACGAAAGUCUGAUGGAGCGACGCCGCGUGAGUGAAGAAGUAUUUCGGCUCGUAAAGCUCUGUUAGCAGGGAAGAAAAAUACAGGUACUAACUGACCUGUCUUUGACGAUAAUUACUUAGAAGGUCACGGCUAACUACGUGCCAGCAGCCGCGGUGAUACGUAGGUGGCAAGCGGUGUCCGGAUUGAUUGGACGUAAAGCGAGUGCAGUCGGUGCAAUAAGUCUGAUGUGAAAGCCUGCGGCUCAACCGGGGAACUGCAUCAGAAACUGUUGAACUGGAGUGCAGAAGAGGAGAGUGGAACUCCAUGUGUAGCGGUGGAAUGCGUAGAUAUAUGGAAGAACACCAGUGGCGAAGGCGGCUUUCUGGACUGCAACUGACGCUGAGGCUCGAAAGCAUGGGGAGCGAACAGGAUUAGAUACCCCGGUAGUC